GAUGAACGCUGGCGGCGUGCCUAAUACAUGCAAGUCGAGCGAACGGACGAGAAGCUUGCUUCUCUGAUGUUAGCGGCGGACGGGUGAGUAACACGUGGAUAACCUACCUAUAAGACUGGGAUAACUUCGGGAAACCGGAGCUAAUACCGGAUAAUAUGUUGAACCGCAGGGUUCAAAAGUGAAAGACGGUCUUGCUGUCACUUAUAGAUGGAUCCGCGCUGCAUUAGCUAGUUGGUAAGGUAACGGCUUACCAAGGCAACGAUGCAUAGCCGACCUGAGAGGGUGAUCGGCCACACUGGAACUGAGACACGGUCCAGACUCCUACGGGAGGCAGCAGUAGGGAAUCUUCCGCAAUGGGCGAAAGCCUGACGCAGCAACGCCGCGUGAGUGAUGAAGGUCUUCGGAUCGUAAAACUCUGUUAUUAGGGAAGAACAUAUGUGUAAGUAACUGUGCACAUCUUGACGGUACCUAAUCAGAAAGCCACGGCUAACUACGUG
Molecule: ribosomal RNA, 497 nt
Filed under: uncultured bacterium
Lineage: Bacteria
Description: partial 16S ribosomal RNA
Rfam family: Bacterial small subunit ribosomal RNA
Source: RNAcentral